GGUUAAGCGACUAAGCGUACACGGUGGAUGCCCUGGCAGUCAGAGGCGAUGAAGGACGUGCUAAUCUGCGAUAAGCGUCGGUAAGGUGAUAUGAACCGUUAUAACCGGCGAUUUCCGAAUGGGGAAACCCAGUGUGUUUCGACACACUAUCAUUAACUGAAUCCAUAGGUUAAUGAGGCGAACCGGGGGAACUGAAACAUCUAAGUACCCCGAGGAAAAGAAAUCAACCGAGAUUCCCCCAGUAGCGGCGAGCGAACGGGGAGCAGCCCAGAGCCUGAAUCAGUGUGUGUGUUAGUGGAAGCGUCUGGAAAGGCGCGCGAUACAGGGUGACAGCCCCGUACACAAAAAUGCACAUGCUGUGAGCUCGAUGAGUAGGGCGGGACACGUGGUAUCCUGUCUGAAUAUGGGGGGACCAUCCUCCAAGGCUAAAUACUCCUGACUGACCGAUAGUGAACCAGUACCGUGAGGGAAAGGCGAAAAGAACCCCGGCGAGGGGAGUGAAAAAGAACCUGAAACCGUGUACGUACAAGCAGUGGGAGCACGCUUCGGCGUGUGACUGCGUACCUUUUGUAUAAUGGGUCAGCGACUUAUAUUCUGUAGCAAGGUUAACCGAAUAGGGGAGCCGAAGGGAAACCGAGUCUUAACUGGGCGUUAAGUUGCAGGGUAUAGACCCGAAACCCGGUGAUCUAGCCAUGGGCAGGUUGAAGGUUGGGUAACACUAACUGGAGGACCGAACCGACUAAUGUUGAAAAAUUAGCGGAUGACUUGUGGCUGGGGGUGAAAGGCCAAUCAAACCGGGAGAUAGCUGGUUCUCCCCGAAAGCUAUUUAGGUAGCGCCUCGUGAAUUCAUCUCCGGGGGUAGAGCACUGUUUCGGCAAGGGGGUCAUCCCGACUUACCAACCCGAUGCAAACUGCGAAUACCGGAGAAUGUUAUCACGGGAGACACACGGCGGGUGCUAACGUCCGUCGUGAAGAGGGAAACAACCCAGACCGCCAGCUAAGGUCCCAAAGUCAUGGUUAAGUGGGAAACGAUGUGGGAAGGCCCAGACAGCCAGGAUGUUGGCUUAGAAGCAGCCAUCAUUUAAAGAAAGCGUAAUAGCUCACUGGUCGAGUCGGCCUGCGCGGAAGAUGUAACGGGGCUAAACCAUGCACCGAAGCUGCGGCAGCGACGCUUAUGCGUUGUUGGGUAGGGGAGCGUUCUGUAAGCCUGUGAAGGUGUACUGUGAGGUAUGCUGGAGGUAUCAGAAGUGCGAAUGCUGACAUAAGUAACGAUAAAGCGGGUGAAAAGCCCGCUCGCCGGAAGACCAAGGGUUCCUGUCCAACGUUAAUCGGGGCAGGGUGAGUCGACCCCUAAGGCGAGGCCGAAAGGCGUAGUCGAUGGGAAACAGGUUAAUAUUCCUGUACUUGGUGUUACUGCGAAGGGGGGACGGAGAAGGCUAUGUUGGCCGGGCGACGGUUGUCCCGGUUUAAGCGUGUAGGCUGGUUUUCCAGGCAAAUCCGGAAAAUCAAGGCUGAGGCGUGAUGACGAGGCACUACGGUGCUGAAGCAACAAAUGCCCUGCUUCCAGGAAAAGCCUCUAAGCAUCAGGUAACAUCAAAUCGUACCCCAAACCGACACAGGUGGUCAGGUAGAGAAUACCAAGGCGCUUGAGAGAACUCGGGUGAAGGAACUAGGCAAAAUGGUGCCGUAACUUCGGGAGAAGGCACGCUGAUAUGUAGGUGAAGUCCCUCGCGGAUGGAGCUGAAAUCAGUCGAAGAUACCAGCUGGCUGCAACUGUUUAUUAAAAACACAGCACUGUGCAAACACGAAAGUGGACGUAUACGGUGUGACGCCUGCCCGGUGCCGGAAGGUUAAUUGAUGGGGUUAGCGGUAACGCGAAGCUCUUGAUCGAAGCCCCGGUAAACGGCGGCCGUAACUAUAACGGUCCUAAGGUAGCGAAAUUCCUUGUCGGGUAAGUUCCGACCUGCACGAAUGGCGUAAUGAUGGCCAGGCUGUCUCCACCCGAGACUCAGUGAAAUUGAACUCGCUGUGAAGAUGCAGUGUACCCGCGGCAAGACGGAAAGACCCCGUGAACCUUUACUAUAGCUUGACACUGAACAUUGAGCCUUGAUGUGUAGGAUAGGUGGGAGGCUUUGAAGUGUGGACGCCAGUCUGCAUGGAGCCGACCUUGAAAUACCACCCUUUAAUGUUUGAUGUUCUAACGUUGACCCGUAAUCCGGGUUGCGGACAGUGUCUGGUGGGUAGUUUGACUGGGGCGGUCUCCUCCUAAAGAGUAACGGAGGAGCACGAAGGUUGGCUAAUCCUGGUCGGACAUCAGGAGGUUAGUGCAAUGGCAUAAGCCAGCUUGACUGCGAGCGUGACGGCGCGAGCAGGUGCGAAAGCAGGUCAUAGUGAUCCGGUGGUUCUGAAUGGAAGGGCCAUCGCUCAACGGAUAAAAGGUACUCCGGGGAUAACAGGCUGAUACCGCCCAAGAGUUCAUAUCGACGGCGGUGUUUGGCACCUCGAUGUCGGCUCAUCACAUCCUGGGGCUGAAGUAGGUCCCAAGGGUAUGGCUGUUCGCCAUUUAAAGUGGUACGCGAGCUGGGUUUAGAACGUCGUGAGACAGUUCGGUCCCUAUCUGCCGUGGGCGCUGGAGAACUGAGGGGGGCUGCUCCUAGUACGAGAGGACCGGAGUGGACGCAUCACUGGUGUUCGGGUUGUCAUGCCAAUGGCACUGCCCGGUAGCUAAAUGCGGAAGAGAUAAGUGCUGAAAGCAUCUAAGCACGAAACUUGCCCCGAGAUGAGUUCUCCCUGACUCCUUGAGAGUCCUGAAGGAACGUUGAAGACGACGACGUUGAUAGGCCGGGUGUGUAAGCGCAGCGAUGCGUUGAGCUAACCGGUACUAAUGAACCGUGAGGCUUAACCUU
This 2906-nucleotide ribosomal RNA is filed under the name Escherichia coli. Its description in RNAcentral is "23S ribosomal RNA". It matches the Rfam family "Bacterial large subunit ribosomal RNA". The record is from RNAcentral. Lineage: Bacteria; Pseudomonadati; Pseudomonadota; Gammaproteobacteria; Enterobacterales; Enterobacteriaceae.